Molecule: transfer RNA, 76 nt
Filed under: Mitsuokella jalaludinii
Lineage: Bacteria; Bacillati; Bacillota; Negativicutes; Selenomonadales; Selenomonadaceae
Also listed under: 3 other names
Description: tRNA-Asn
Rfam family: tRNA
About the family: Transfer RNA (tRNA) molecules are approximately 80 nucleotides in length. Their secondary structure includes four short double-helical elements and three loops (D, anti-codon, and T loops). Further hydrogen bonds mediate the characteristic L-shaped molecular structure. tRNAs have two regions of fundamental functional importance: the anti-codon, which is responsible for specific mRNA codon recognition, and the 3' end, to which the tRNAs corresponding amino acid is attached (by aminoacyl-tRNA synthetases). tRNAs cope with the degeneracy of the genetic code in two manners: having more than one tRNA (with a specific anti-codon) for a particular amino acid; and 'wobble' base-pairing, i.e. permitting non-standard base-pairing at the 3rd anti-codon position.
Source: RNAcentral
ACCUCGAUAGCUCAGUCGGUAGAGCACCUGACUGUUAAUCAGGUUGUCGCAGGUUCGAGCCCUGCUCGAGGUGCCA